AUUGAGCGCUGGCGGCAGGCCUAACACAUGCAAGUCGAGCGGAUGAAGGGAGCUUGCUCCUGGAUUCAGCGGCGGACGGGUGAGUAAUGCCUAGGAAUCUGCCUGGUAGUGGGGGAUAACGUCCGGAAACGGGCGCUAAUACCGCAUACGUCCUGAGGGAGAAAGUGGGGGAUCUUCGGACCUCACGCUAUCAGAUGAGCCUAGGUCGGAUUAGCUAGUUGGUGGGGUAAAGGCCUACCAAGGCGACGAUCCGUAACUGGUCUGAGAGGAUGAUAAGUCACACUGGAACUGAGACACGGUCCAGACUCCUACGGGAGGCAGCAGUGGGGAAUAUUGGACAAUGGGCGAAAGCCUGAUCCAGCCAUGCCGCGUGUGUGAAGAAGGUCUUCGGAUUGUAAAGCACUUUAAGUUGGGAGGAAGGGCAGUAAGUUAAUACCUUGCUGUUUUGACGUUACCAACAGAAUAAGCACCGGCUAACUUCGUG
RNAcentral lists this ribosomal RNA (484 nucleotides) under uncultured bacterium. RNAcentral describes it as "partial 16S ribosomal RNA". It matches the Rfam family "Bacterial small subunit ribosomal RNA", at positions 30 to 507 of the family's 1533-position model. The record is from RNAcentral.